CGGAAGGUCAUGAGGGCCUGACCCUCGUACGCGGAAGGCCAUGAGGGCGGGACCCUGGUACGCGGAAGGCCAUGAGGGCGGGAACCCUCGUACGCGGAAGUUCAUGAGGGCGGGACCCUCGUACGCGGAAGGUCAUGAGGGCGGGACCCUCGUACGCGGAAGUUCAUGCGGGCGGGACCCUCGUACGUGGAAGGUCAUGAGGGCGGGACCCUCGUACGUGGAAGGUCAUGAGGGCGGAACCCUGGUACAUGAAAUUCGUUCUCUUAUUUAAGAGACAAAGAACGCCCUUGUUUUUUCCACCACGUGAUGGCGCAGACAGAAGACAACCAGCAUCUAUGAACCAGGAAGCCCCCACCAGGCACUGAAUCUGCCCCUGCGUGGAUCUUAGACUUGCAGACUCCAGAACUGUCCAAAUUUUGGUCUGGAGCCAGAGACAAUAUAGGAUGAAGUUUGAUUUGUUCCAAAACCCACAGAAAUCUCUAAAAUGGAAGAAUUUUCUUAGAACCAAAAGGCAUGGAAUUGAUGACAUGAAACUGGAUGCCGGAGGAAAAAUGAAACCAAUGUGAGAAGAUUUAGUUGGAUUCUAAAACGAUUUGUGAUCCUGGACUGGUUCUUCAAAUUCCUUCUCUUCCCUGAAAUGCCAAGCCACCUUCCUGAGUGUUUUGGCAUUGACAGCUGAUGUCUCCUUUUUAUUAUGGAUCUUCAAGUCAGAAGUGGUAUUUGGUUCUCUUAAUCAACUUACGAAGAGAAGACUACCCAAAUGGGAAUUUGUUUAAUCAAAGAGAGCAUCAUAACACAAAUAGUCACAAAAUUGAUUAGUUAUAAUUGUGGUAAUUUCAUUCAGUUCUGGGACAUCUACAGUACAUACUUAGUUCCACAGACCCCACUGCCUGUGACCUAGUUGGCCAAAUUUAAAGUUGAGUGACAAAUUUUAAUUAUGAAGCUGAUGAAGGUACUUAUGCAAAAUUAUUUCUAAUCAAUUAUAAUUCAGUUUUACUCACUGAUAAUCUACUGGAGUCUAAUACAUUAAUUUAGUGUACUCUAGUAUUGAACAUCAAUUGCACUAAUGCUAGGAGCUGUGGGUGAUCCAAAGGAAUGAUGUAUAUGGGGCAGCUGAUGUGCCAAGUCCCCUCUCACUAGAGAACAAGGAAGUGGAAAAAUAUGUAACCAUAAGAUCAGCAGAAAGGACAGAUGUGGUAGUUUGGCUAGUGAGAAAACAACUGAAAAGAUCCAUCUGAGUAAGCUCCUAAAAUUCCAAAGUCAUUUCUUAAAUAUGCUAUUUUUAAGAUGAUACUGCCUGCACAUUUUCCAUGGAGAUGCUUAUUUUUGGACCAUCUGUUGAUGGUAAAUAUGUAUCAUGUGCCCUCUAAAGCCUCUAUGUGUUGUCUACUCACUAUUUUACAGCUUCUGACUUGUGUCAGAUACUGAAAUGUCACUGUUAUCCAGUUUGUUGGCUUAUGUGACAGAGAUCACCUAAGUGCUCACUGGCCUCCUAGACACCGGGGCUGCUUUCCUUCCCUGACUCACUUUCAGCCAGAUUGGGUGUCUGGGACAGCUUCUGUCACUGUGUUGCAGGUAGAGGUGGUUUCUGCUAUUUUGGAGCCUGGCCUCUAACAGCCCAUGAGACUCUCGGCUCACUCUCUGUCUCUGCUUACAAGCUAGAAGAGAUACUGUCUGAGACGACAGAGAUGCACAAUGGAAGGAAUCGUGAUCUCUAAGCCACUGCUUGAAAGAGAUUGGUCAGGGCAUCUGUUCAACUUGCCUGGGUUCUACAUGAGAAGCACGUCUUGCUUUUGUUCAGCACAUUCAGCGAGUGAUUGCCAUUACCCUGACGCAUGCUGAAGUUGACAAGUCUUGGACCAAGGUGCCACCUGCACUUGCAUAUUCAUACUGCCCAAUAACACUCACUGGGUUGCGGGAAAUAAGGCAGAGAUUAAAGUCUAGGAGGUUGCAGAGUUCGCCCUGCAUGGACUGAAACAUUGGAGCUACAUCAGGCUGAGGAUGCUCUGGGUUGGCUUUCCAUGCUUGUUUGUUUGUUCAUGGUUCAGUUUGUGUAAUUCAGCCACCACUGGCCCAAAAAUCCAAAGAAAAAUUCCCUUUUCCCACAUGUUACUGACCUGGUUAGAAAAGCCAUAUUAGGGGUAAUUUUGAAGAGCCACUGUUUUGAAAUACGGUUUCUCUUCCAGCCUGAGCUUCUCAGCUGACCUGUGAUGGAGUGUUGUGCCCAAGUGGAAAGUUCUUCUUUCUUUCAGAGACAUAUCAUUCACCAUAAAAUACAACCAGAGACUUCAAAAUUACUCCAGGCUAGAAGGACACUCCAAUUAGGGGAAAAGUAACCUAUGGGCAAACCAUCUUCCGUAAGAGUUCAAGGACAAAAAACUACUGAUGUUGUAAUAACAUUGAAACUUAAUGUUUUGGGCAAUCCUUAAGUGAUUUAUUUGGAGUGUCCCAGUCAUUUUAGACCUCUUCACCUUACAAUGUAUUGUGUGAGAUUAUAUUUCCAUGCACCUAAUUUUAAAAUAAAUUUAUUUAGGUAGAUGUAGAGACAUAUUACUGUGAUAAAGCAGUUCAUACCAAAUAAAAUUUAGCUAAUAAUCCUGGCUGUGUUUUCAAUCUUAGAUUAACUUACAUUACAAAAUCUCUUUCCUAUAGCAAUGUUUUCAGUAUUCAUGUUGUUGAUGAUGAUAUGUUUAGUAUAAAUUACAUCUUCCACUACAUUAUUUUAUGGAAGUAUAAAAAGUAAACCAGGCCGGGCGCGGUGGCUCACGCCUGUAAUCC
This 2778-nucleotide long non-coding RNA is filed under the name Homo sapiens (human). Its description in RNAcentral is "HSALNT0083709". The record is from RNAcentral. Lineage: Eukaryota; Metazoa; Chordata; Mammalia; Primates; Hominidae.